Notolabrus celidotus (New Zealand spotty) is the source of this 599-nucleotide long non-coding RNA. RefSeq lists it as uncharacterized. The transcript is spliced from 2 exons. NCBI's taxonomy places the organism in Eukaryota, Metazoa, Chordata, Actinopteri, Labriformes, Labridae. The record is from RefSeq and is a predicted model, not a curated record.
AAUUGUUUGAUAGGAAGCAAGGCUAUGGCCUAAACUCUUUGCCUAAUUCUAGAGUAAGCUCGUCAUACGUUGGAGUCAUCAUAUCUAACAUGAUGACCAUCAUGACAUCUCUUCAGAAACAAAUAAGUGAUGUCACUGAAAUUUCAUCCUUGUACACUCUAUUAUUAUGACCCCAAUUCAAACUCAUGUCACAUGCCAAUACAUCAUGUAAGCCUAUACUAAAGCCAUUAUUAUUGUCCAUUAGAAGAGAUCACUCACAAGCUUAUUAGUGUUAUCUAACAUCAACGCUACAGUAGGCUUGGAUGUUUCCCAUGAUGUCAUUGGUUAAUUACCUGGCUGACGCAGAAACACAUGAUGGCGACCUGCAAAGAUGGCGUACAAAAGUUACAACGAGUGGUGCGCUUCUUGCCUACCUAUGACUGGAUGGAAAACAUGGACCGGACUUUACGGGACUCUGGACUGGCUUACUUUAUUUCCGUGAGCAUUGAACUUUUGCUUUCAUGGUCUCUUUCGUCUCUAUGCAAUUACUGGCACUAAAUGUUAACAUAUAAAACAUGUUGCUUAUUGCCUGUGGAUAAAAUAUUGGUUGAAAUUUUAAA